AUUGAACGCUGGCGGCAGGCUUAACACAUGCAAGUCGAGCGAGCGGCGGACGGGUGAGUAAUGUCUGGGAAACUGCCUGAUGGAGGGGGAUAACUACUGGACACGGUAGCUAAUACCGCAUACCCUCAGAUGUGCCCAGAUGGGUUUAGCUAGUAGGUGGGGUAUUGACUCACCUAGGCGACGAUCCCUUGCUGGUGUGAGAGGAUGAACAGCCACACUGGAACUGAGAGACGGUCCGUACACCUACGGGAGGCAGCAGUGGGGAAUAUAGAACAAUGGGCGCAAGCCUGAUGCAGCCAUGCCGCGUGUGUGAAGAAGGCCUUCGGGUUGUAAAGCACUUUCAGCGAGGAGGCGUUACUCACAAAAAAAGCACCGGCUAACUCCGGGCCAGCAGCCGCGGUAAUAC
This 406-nucleotide ribosomal RNA is filed under the name uncultured bacterium. RNAcentral's name for it is "partial 16S ribosomal RNA". It matches the Rfam family "Bacterial small subunit ribosomal RNA", at positions 30 to 526 of the family's 1533-position model. The record is from RNAcentral.